AAGACUAUAAUCAAUAAGUUUAGGUUUUUGGCUAUGAUUUUGAUAUAAAAUUUGUAUGAUUUGGAGUUUAUAUGAAAGAAAUAUGGGCAUUCAAAGUUAAGGUAUUGAUUUUGUACCCACUAUCAGUCUUUAGGACAUAAUGCAUGCAUACAGAAAGCAAUAAAGAAUUGGCAAUUAAGGUUGGAGAGAGCAUUUUUUCAACUAUAUUUUUGGCAUAUUAUUUGAUGGAUUUCAAGUUGAAAUAAAGAAGAUAUUAGAAAUUGAAGUUAGCACUUCAAAUUUAAGAAUAGUAAAUAA
RNAcentral lists this long non-coding RNA (297 nucleotides) under Physcomitrium patens. Its description in RNAcentral is "long non-coding RNA (PPAT_LNC011299)". The record is from RNAcentral. Lineage: Eukaryota; Viridiplantae; Streptophyta; Bryopsida; Funariales; Funariaceae.